This 30-nucleotide non-coding RNA is filed under the name Homo sapiens (human). Lineage: Eukaryota; Metazoa; Chordata; Mammalia; Primates; Hominidae. The record is from RNAcentral.
UGUACGGCUGCUGCAAUUUGCUGAAGGUUC